GAAUCACCUGGGGUAGUUGUGAAAAAUACAGAUUCCCAGGUGGCUAGUCCCAGAGAAUUCCGUAGCUUGGGGCCCAGGAAUUUCUCUGCAUUUUUAACAGGCACCAGAUGAUUCUGAAGAUGGUCCGAGAACCAAGCUUUGAGAAACACUGGUCUGAAUCCUCUGGAAGAAGUUGGGACAGUGACUUUCAACCGUUAGGUGUCACUCAAAGCAUAAUUAGCUACCACCAGAUGCUCUUGGAAUUUGGAUAAAUUCAUCAAAAAAAAAAAAAAAAUUACUGUUGUCUUUUGAAAAUCACAGUCCUUAAUUCUUUUGAGUAAUCCUGACAUUAUAGCAGGGCCAGAUUUAGAGAAAUGCUUUCUUUCUAGGAAGCCUAGUUUCAACAUUUAUUUGGGGUUUAAGAUCUCCCUACUUUGAGAAAGGACUUGAGACAUUUAUAACAACACACAUACAAAAUAGAAUGAUGAAAAUGAGAAACGAUUUUUUGUUUUAAAGGUCAGAGGCCAAGUAGGAGGACAGAUGUGUUAGGAAUCUGGGAUGAGUUAGUUACUACUAUGAGCACUAAAGUUUCUGGCCACUAAAGCAAAAUUAAAGCAGGAAAUUCCAAUACAGUGAUCCUUGGAUAUUUGUUAGGAGUAUGUCCCCCAAACCUUUGGAAAUCCUCAGAUUUUGGACUUUCUAGGGCGUAAGUUUUCUCCACAGAACAGGUACACCGUCAUGAGUGGGAACAAGGAGACCACAUUGAAAUCUGAAUGCUGGGUGGCAGGAGAGGCUCUUCACUAGCCCCAGAGAUUCUGUCCCACAUACCAGCCUCAGUGCCUGUGGGUCAGAUUCCCACCACUGGAACAUUAUGUGUCACAGACAAUUAGAAGUUCUUAUUCAGACUUAAUCUGUGAACGUCAAGGGUCUACUUUGUUUAAAAUUUGAGAAUUCUUAUCCGGUACCUUUGAUGCUGAUUUAUAAAGAGAUAAGGAGAAGAUAAAGGCAGUGGGGUUGAUAGUUCCAGAAAUUCUGGUUACCUGUACAAUAUCAAGUCAGUUAUAAAAAGUUUCUUUGAUGUGAAAUUUGAAUGGAGUAUUUUAAGGCAUAAUAUUCUCUUCCUUCUUUUCAUAGACAUAUCCAUUAUCAUGUUCACAUGAGUAAAAAGUAAAAAGUCCUGGAAAAGCAUGGGAAAACCUGGAAUCUAAUCCUGCCUCUGGCAUUUACCAAGAUGGGGUUUGAGAUCAACUACUUGAUCUCUCUGAGUCUCAUUUUCUCCCUUUAUAAGAAAUGGAAGACUUGAAACCAGAUGCCUACUUGAGCAAAUACUUCAGAGAAGAUCUUCAUUUAGAGGAUAAUCAGCAAAAAAAAGGGUGGCUGUCACCUCUUGGCACUUCCAGCCAAUGUUGUGAGCCAGGCAUCCCAGAUGGACAAACUCUCAUGGACGAGACACAGUCUCCAGGGCAGCAGUAAACAUCAACUGACUUUUUCUUGUCAGAGGGUGGUGCGCUCCCAUCCAACAGCCUGAGGUGGUCAGAGCCACCUGGCCUUCUUCAUCUGGUGGGCAGAGGUCUCUACUGUUCGCCCAAAGAUGUGGUAGGGGCCCAGGACCAGUUGGUGUCCAUACACUUGUGGAGGAAGGCCAGAAUAUGUGCUGACCUUCAGGCAGUCGUGUGCUAGGCACUGGAGAUGUGAAGAUGAACAAGACACGAUUAGUGACUCCAGGAACUCAUCGUGUACAAUUUCAGAAUUCUGGACUUCCAGGGGCAAGUACGGAGUGCUGUGGGCUGGGCACAUGAAAAUCAAUUGUUCUGUAUUUGGGACGUGGAGAGGGCUUUAGUUUGAGUUUAAAAGGAGCAUAGACACAGAAAUAGAGAAGACUAUCCCAGAAAGUGGGAUCAGCAAGUGCUAGGUGGAUUGUGGGAAUGGUGAGGGGUAUCUGGGAUAGCAGAAGAAGAGAUAGCUGGGAGAGCAGGUUGGGGAGAACUUCACCGGAAAGAGAGUUGGGAAGCUUUUAAGCAAGAGGGUGAUAGGGAGGAUCUUCCUCCUUAUCUAACAGGUUGAGUCAUUCACUGAUACUGACAAAGGAAUUAUACUUGAACUAACACUUAACUAACUGCAUGU
This is a long non-coding RNA of Prionailurus viverrinus (fishing cat), 2103 nucleotides long. RefSeq lists it as uncharacterized. The transcript is spliced from 4 exons. The record is from RefSeq and is a predicted model, not a curated record. NCBI's taxonomy places the organism in Eukaryota, Metazoa, Chordata, Mammalia, Carnivora, Felidae.